AAUUCUAAUGAUGCACUGCCGAAAUGAACAUCGACAUUUCGAACGCACAUUGCGGUCCAUGGAUUCCGUUCCCGGACCACGCCUGGCUGAGGGUCGGUUGCUAAAACUGAACCUCUUUCGUUUGCUUCGAGAGCUGGACGUCACGGUUCGGCGGCCUCGGCCGCCGCCCGUCUCCUGAAAGGAGCUCCGCCUCCGGUGGAGCUGGACCGGUCGACACACCGCUGAGAGUGUGAGCGACGGGAGGGUUGGUCCGCGCAGCGUCUUUGUGUCUGCUGGCGCCGGUUCACCGCCUUUGCCCCGCGCGAAGCUCGAAAGCGUGGCGUGUCUAAAAACCAACCGGAACAUGUGAAAUAAAACACACCUCGAGCAGGAGACUACCCGCUGAAUUUAAGC
This 393-nucleotide ribosomal RNA is filed under the name Tettigonia viridissima. RNAcentral's name for it is "eukaryotic LSU rRNA". The record is from RNAcentral. Lineage: Eukaryota; Metazoa; Arthropoda; Insecta; Orthoptera; Tettigoniidae.